UCAGGCCUGCCCAGUGAAUAUAUAUUUAACGGCCGCGGUACUCUGACCGUGCAAAGGUAGCAUAAUCAUUUGCCUUAUAAUUGAAGGCUAGUAUGAAUGGUUUAACGAGAGCAAUACUGUCUCCUUUCUAUUUUCAAGAACUUAACCUUUAGGUGAAGAGGCCCAAAUUUAAUUGAAGGACAAGAAGACCCUGUCGAGCUUAAAAGACACUAUAGAAGUUCAUAUAUUUCUAAAUAAAUUCUCUAUUAAGCUUUUUAGUUGGGGCGACUAAGGAACAAAAAAAGCUUCUUAUAGUAAAUAAACAACCAAGUUUUGAUCCGAUAGUAAUCGAUUAAAGAAAUUAGUUACCGCAGGGAUAACAGCAUAAUCUCUCUUGAGAGACCUAAUCGAAAGAGGGGGUUGUGACCUCGAUGUUGGACUAGAAUAUCCUAAAGAUGCAGAAGUCUUUAAGGGUC
RNAcentral lists this ribosomal RNA (455 nucleotides) under Elimia comalensis. RNAcentral describes it as "partial 16S ribosomal RNA". It matches the Rfam family "Bacterial large subunit ribosomal RNA", at positions 1853 to 2573 of the family's 2925-position model. The record is from RNAcentral. Lineage: Eukaryota; Metazoa; Mollusca; Gastropoda; Pleuroceridae.